GUGUUAGAUCCAGAUGAUCGACACAGGCUCUAAAGCAAAUAGUUUUAAAUUACUUCAAUUUAUGAUUACUUUGUUGUCUUCUUAAUUGUGCAGCCUUGGUCGGGCUGGUUAAAUUUAAAUACUGCUUCUCAUGCCAGGACAAAGUACAAAGACUUAUUCUGCACGUCAGAAUAAUGUGUGCAAGUAGCUUUUGAGUGAGCAAACUACAACUUGAAUAUUUGUUUUAUCGGUUUCAUUAUCUUCAAUAAAAUAUGUUUAUUAUUUCAGCG
Molecule: long non-coding RNA, 269 nt
Filed under: Mytilus galloprovincialis (Mediterranean mussel)
Lineage: Eukaryota; Metazoa; Mollusca; Bivalvia; Mytilida; Mytilidae
Source: RNAcentral